GUUUUUAUUAGGGAUUACCAGGACUAAGAGGAGAGCAAGGCCCUCGGGGCCCCACUGGGCCACCAGGCAACCCAGGAACACCUGGUAAAGAUGGUCAAGAUGGCAAACCUGGUCUUCCUGGGAAAACGGGGGAGGAUGGAGUGCCAGGUGAAGAUGGGAGAAAGGUCUGUGGCCGUUCAUCAGUUGAAAUAAUUGUCUUGACGGAAGAACACACGAAAAAUAGUCAUUUAAAAGGAACGCCUUACACAUUUGAUAUUUUUGGCCCAUCUUGAUUUUUAUUUGACGCUUGCUGAAAAUGGAUUGAAAAUUACUUCCAAAAAACAACUGUUUUUCAUUUAAGGAAUCCUUACUGUCUUGUCUGCUUGUUUCUUUUUACAGGGUGACAAAGGAGAACCUGGAGGAACAGGGCGACAUGUCAGUCAUGUUUUCUGUAUAUUUCUCCCCUGAUUGGUAGUGUCUAAACUGUCUUCUGAGCUCCUGACAUCUUUCAUUUUUUUAAAGCCUUAUUCCGUCUUAGCUUUCGUUUCUAUGGAUCACACAUAUUUUGUUUAUCAGCAGUAGUUUCCUCCAACAUUGAAGUCAAACUCUCACUUUCAGUUAAAUCAAUAGGCUUCUUGAAGCGGAUUCACUAGCUUCUAAUGAUGGAGCUUAGCCUUUAAGGGGAAGCCACUUCUAAGAGGAAUCCAGAGGAGCACCAAAUGUCAGAGUGCUGUUUUCAUGUGCAAAUUCCCAUUAAUUAUCCCUUGAACAUCAGUGGGGGGGGGUGGCAGCAGCCACCUGCUUUGAUUUUAUAGUUCUGCUUCCAUUACAGUGCAGAAGCAAAC
Molecule: long non-coding RNA, 824 nt
Filed under: Oryzias sinensis (Chinese medaka)
Lineage: Eukaryota; Metazoa; Chordata; Actinopteri; Beloniformes; Adrianichthyidae
Description: lncRNA (ENSOSIG00000016316.1)
Source: RNAcentral